This is a non-coding RNA of Acanthosepion pharaonis, 87 nucleotides long. The record is from the annotation of a GenBank genome assembly. NCBI's taxonomy places the organism in Eukaryota, Metazoa, Mollusca, Cephalopoda, Sepiida, Sepiidae.
CUAUGGCCAUAUCAUGUUGAAACACCGGUUCCCGUACGAUCACCUAAGUUAAGCAAAGUUGUACCUGGUCAGUACCUAGAUGGGUGA